This is a long non-coding RNA of Spinacia oleracea (spinach), 964 nucleotides long. RefSeq lists it as uncharacterized. The transcript is spliced from 3 exons. The record is from RefSeq and is a predicted model, not a curated record. Lineage: Eukaryota; Viridiplantae; Streptophyta; Magnoliopsida; Caryophyllales; Amaranthaceae.
AAGAUAGGAUUUGUUUAAUAGAGUUUUAAUAAGAUUCUAAUUAAAUAAAUUAGUAUCCUAAUAGGAUUCCAAGUCAUUUUCCAUAACUCUAUAAAUAGGUGCCUAGGGUCACAUAUUUACAUCGAGAAUUGAAGUAUUCAAAGGUAAGAUUUUCAAGCAAAAAUCAGCCACAAACACUUGCCCUAUUAGCCGAAAUUUAUAUAACCUUAAGGGCAAUUCUAGUUGGUCAAGCUUAAGGCGGAUCCGGACGUGCUGUGGACUAUCUACGGAGGGACGACACUUGGAGUCCUAAAGACUUGUUCUUGUUCGGUUCGGGCGCAGCUAGGGAGGGCACGCUACAAAGUAUCCGAACGUGCUGUGGACUAUCUACGGAGGGACUACACUUGGAGUCUUAAACUUGUUCUUGUUCGGUUCGGGAGCAGCUAGGGAGGGCACGCUACAAAUGGUACCUUCAAACUCAAUUUCGACGGCUCUUGCAAUUCUUCAUCAGCAGCAGCUGGUUUUAUCAUACGCGACAACAACGUUACCCCUAUCAGGAUUCAUACUUACAACCUAGGCCGUACGCAAGCUUUCAUGGCAGAAGCUUGUGCCCUCCACAAAGGCCUCAAAGAAGCGAAGAAUCUCAACAUAAAAAACAUUUCUAUUGAAGGUGAUAACCUAUUACUCAUGAAUGCAGUCAAAGGAACCUGGAACAUCCCUUGGAAACUCCACUAUAUUAUUCAGGACAUACAGGAUAUUCUCAACUUUUUUGACAAUUGGGAUAUCAAGCACGUCUUCAGAGAAGCAAAUCGAGCAGCGGAUUGGAUAGCAAAUGUAGGACAUUUAGUUAGUAAUACUAUGUGUAUUGAAUCUUGUAAUAGUCCCCAAUUACUUUCCAUUUUAGAUAGUGAUUACUUAGGAGAAACCCUCGUGCGGAGGGGCUCCUAAGGUACUUUCUCCUUACCUUUCCAAAAAAAAAAAUGUC